AGAGUUUGAUCAUGGCUCAGGAUGAACGCUGGCGGCGUGCCUAAUACAUGCAAGUCGAACGAGUUCUGAUUAUUGAAAGGUGCUUGCAUCUUGAUUUAAUUUUGAACGAGUGGCGGACGGGUGAGUAACACGUGGGUAACCUGCCCUUAAGUGGGGGAUAACAUUUGGAAACAGAUGCUAAUACCGCAUAAAUCCAAGAACCGCAUGGUUCUUGGCUGAAAGAUGGCGUAAGCUAUCGCUUUUGGAUGGACCCGCGGCGUAUUAGCUAGUUGGUGAGGUAACGGCUCACCAAGGCAAUGAUACGUAGCCGAACUGAGAGGUUGAUCGGCCACAUUGGGACUGAGACACGGCCCAAACUCCUACGGGAGGCAGCAGUAGGGAAUCUUCCACAAUGGACGCAAGUCUGAUGGAGCAACGCCGCGUGAGUGAAGAAGGCUUUCGGGUCGUAAAACUCUGUUGUUGGAGAAGAAUGGUCGGCAGAGUAACUGUUGUCGGCGUGACGGUAUCCAACCAGAAAGCCACGGCUAACUACGUGCCAGCAGCCGCGGUAAUACGUAGGUGGCAAGCGUUAUCCGGAUUUAUUGGGCGUAAAGCGAGCGCAGGCGGUUUUUUAAGUCUGAUGUGAAAGCCCUCGGCUUAACCGAGGAAGUGCAUCGGAAACUGGGAAACUUGAGUGCAGAAGAGGACAGUGGAACUCCAUGUGUAGCGGUGAAAUGCGUAGAUAUAUGGAAGAACACCAGUGGCGAAGGCGGCUGUCUGGUCUGUAACUGACGCUGAGGCUCGAAAGCAUGGGUAGCGAACAGGAUUAGAUACCCUGGUAGUCCAUGCCGUAAACGAUGAAUGCUAGGUGUUGGAGGGUUUCCGCCCUUCAGUGCCGCAGCUAACGCAUUAAGCAUUCCGCCUGGGGAGUACGACCGCAAGGUUGAAACUCAAAGGAAUUGACGGGGGCCCGCACAAGCGGUGGAGCAUGUGGUUUAAUUCGAAGCAACGCGAAGAACCUUACCAGGUCUUGACAUCUUUUGAUCACCUGAGAGAUCAGGUUUCCCCUUCGGGGGCAAAAUGACAGGUGGUGCAUGGUUGUCGUCAGCUCGUGUCGUGAGAUGUUGGGUUAAGUCCCGCAACGAGCGCAACCCUUAUGACUAGUUGCCAGCAUUUAGUUGGGCACUCUAGUAAGACUGCCGGUGACAAACCGGAGGAAGGUGGGGAUGACGUCAAAUCAUCAUGCCCCUUAUGACCUGGGCUACACACGUGCUACAAUGGAUGGUACAACGAGUUGCGAGACCGCGAGGUCAAGCUAAUCUCUUAAAGCCAUUCUCAGUUCGGACUGUAGGCUGCAACUCGCCUACACGAAGUCGGAAUCGCUAGUAAUCGCGGAUCAGCACGCCGCGGUGAAUACGUUCCCGGGCCUUGUACACACCGCCCGUCACACCAUGAGAGUUUGUAACACCCGAAGCCGGUGGCGUAACCC
RNAcentral lists this ribosomal RNA (1468 nucleotides) under Lactobacillus sp. TBZ. RNAcentral's name for it is "16S ribosomal RNA". It matches the Rfam family "Bacterial small subunit ribosomal RNA". Lineage: Bacteria; Bacillati; Bacillota; Bacilli; Lactobacillales; Lactobacillaceae. The record is from RNAcentral.